Molecule: long non-coding RNA, 480 nt
Filed under: Elaeis guineensis (African oil palm)
Lineage: Eukaryota; Viridiplantae; Streptophyta; Magnoliopsida; Arecales; Arecaceae
Description: long non-coding RNA (EGUI_LNC055810)
Source: RNAcentral
AGAAGAAGAGAAGAAGAAAAGUUCCUCUUUCCUUCUUAGUGAUCUGGUUUAGAUUCCGUCGGAUCAGCGUGAAUGAAUUUGCGCAGUGAUUAUCUUUUUCGAGAUCUAGAAGAAGAGAUGUAGAUUCAAAGUUGAAGAGCGAGAUCUGUAAGGUGCUAGCACAUCAAUAAUCUCGAUGCUCUGAUCAGACAUCUCCGUAAGGAUACUAGCAGAAGUCAGGCGCAUGCGCGGCAAUGAUCGAAACUCCAGACAUUUGUAGCAUCCGAAGGUAUGAAGAUCUGAUCUCUGAUUUUAUUUUGCUGAUGUUUGUUUUUCUUUUCAAAUUUUAGAUCAAGAUCUUUUGUUCGUGUCAAGAUCCUUAGCAUGAUUUUUAGAUCUGAUCUGGUAUAUGUAUUAAAUUAAAAAUAUUUUAAUUUAUUUAUUUUCACUGCAUAAAAUUUUAAAAAAAAAUUUUAAACUAUACGUACAAAAUCAUAGCGC